RNAcentral lists this ribosomal RNA (1602 nucleotides) under Triticum aestivum (bread wheat). RNAcentral describes it as "partial small subunit ribosomal RNA". Lineage: Eukaryota; Viridiplantae; Streptophyta; Magnoliopsida; Poales; Poaceae. The record is from RNAcentral.
AUGGAUGACGGCGCUUCGGGAUCGGGUUCUGCCACUUCCGAUCUGGAGGCAAUGAUGGAAGAAUUGGGACUCAAUGAAGAGAAUCUUCAAGAUGUGGUGGUCGAGGAGGAUGAACUGUCGGAGGAAGCAACAAGAUGGAUGGCUCUAGCACGGGUGCACACGAACAAGGUCUAUAGCCAGUACUGGUUCUAUAGGAACAUGAGAAUUGCUUGGGACUUGGCGCAAGAGGUGAAGAUCCGACCCCUCGAAGAGAAUUUGUACACAAUGCAGUUCUCGUGCCUUGGUGACUGGGAGCGAGUAAUGCAGGAGGGGCCUUGGGAGCACAAGGGGAAAGCUGUCGUGCUUGCGCAUUAUGAUGGGUUCACCCGGCCUUCCUCGAUAGCUCUCAAUACAAUAGAUAUAUGGAUGCAGAUUCAUGACUUGCCAGACGGGUAUUUCCCAAAAAUAAAGGCUUUGGCGGCUACGGAGGGCGAGUUCAUAUACGCAGAGCCAAAAUCUCCAGACUUUGAAGGAAACUUCUGUAGGGUGCGGGUCAGAAUUGAUGUCACCAAGCCCCUUAAGAAUGUUGUAUCACUUGUGGUCAAAAGGAAGCAAGAGGUCGUCCGCGAGAUCUUCAGGGUGAAAUUUGAAAGGCUUCCGGACUGGUGCGCUGUUUGUGGCCACCUCGGUCACUUGUUCAAGGAGUGUGGGGAUGGGGUAGAGGGCCGGGAGAAGGAAGAGGAUCAGGAGGAGGAGGAGGAGGCAGGGGACGUGCCGGCAGAGGAAAGGGAGAACAACAUGAAGCGAGGGGCAGCUGACGCGAAGACCUUGAUGAAUACUUCUGCAUCUACGCAUGAGACUGAACAGACUCUCCUGCUCACGGCCCCAGCGAUCCCACAAAGCCCUUCCGCGAAGCAGGAUCUGAAAAGAAACAAGCCCACACCAUCAGCUGCGGACAAAGCGAAUGGGAAGAGUUCUACAGUUAACAAACCUACUGAUGCGCGUUUGGCGGGCCCCCCAAGUGGAUUCUUGGAAGAGCUAGCUUUGCUAGGGGAGAGCCGGCAUGUCCAACAUGUAGCGGCUCAGCCACCUCCAGCAAGAAGUGCAGCGAGACGACCACGAGCCCCACCUCCUCAAUAUAUAAAGUUCAACGUUGAUGCUGGAAUCAGGAGGGGUAGAAGAGGAUCGGCAGCCGCGGUGUGCCAUGAUAAUGAAGGAAAUUAUCUGGGUAGUUCAGCUAUUGUGAUUUCUGGAGUGGACGAUCCGGCGACAAUGGAGAUGAUUGCAUGCCGUGAGGCACUAUGUCUAGCUGAAGAUCUCCAAGUUAAUCAAUUUGUCGUUGCCAGCGACUCCAAGCAAGUGGUCCAGGACAUCAACCAGGAGCCAGUUUCACACGUGCCUUGUGAACUACCUUCAGUUCAAAGCCAAAGGCCCAUCCUUGGCAGUAAUAUAGCCAUACCAAAUUCUCCUCUUUUUCAGUCUGGGUUGUUUGCUCUGUCUGUGCGCGCUGCUCAACUCACCUAUAUGCCCCUACACCCUGAUCAGAACAUGUGCAACAGAUCAUUGGUCAAUGAUACUGAAAAUAACAAUUCAGACUUGCAGGACAUUCUAUUUCUGCUAUGA